This is a long non-coding RNA of Arabidopsis thaliana (thale cress), 343 nucleotides long. RefSeq annotates it as other RNA. The transcript has a single exon. The record is from RefSeq. Lineage: Eukaryota; Viridiplantae; Streptophyta; Magnoliopsida; Brassicales; Brassicaceae.
AUCAUGUUCUCCUGAAUCUUCCGACAAAAGAUCUGGUGAUGAAGUUGAUUGGUUAAGUGAUUUACCAGAAGCUUUGCUCGUUCAUGUUCUCCUGAAUCUUCCGACAAAAAAUGUGGUUAAGACUAGUGUCUUAUCCAACAAAUGGAGAAAUAUCUGGAGGUAUGAUCCUGGAUUGGAUUUGGAUAAUCGUCAUUUCACGGAUUUGGUUAAGAAGAUCAUAUGUUUGUCUUAAAUGUUUCAAUUGAACCAAAAAUGUAAUAAGGUUCGUGUAAGAACCAAGGAUUAAAAUUUCCAGAAACUCUUUAUUUAUGUGAACUAUGUGCUUUCUUUUCAUUGUGGUGAC